GUCAAGUUGAAUCAAUUCGUAAGAAAAGCAGCCAAAUUUUGUUGCAGUUUUUACUGGACUACCAUAUAUCCGGGAAACGUCUUCAACAACAUCUUGAUUUCUUACUUUCAAACUUAAGAUAUGAGCAUUCAACUGGAAGAGAAGCUAUCCUUGAAAUGCUUCAUGCUGUUAUAAUGAAAUUCCCUAUUAGCAUCAUAGAUGAACAAUCUCAGACGUUUUUUCUGCAUUUGGUGGUUUGU
Molecule: unclassified non-coding RNA, 239 nt
Filed under: Hevea brasiliensis (rubber tree)
Lineage: Eukaryota; Viridiplantae; Streptophyta; Magnoliopsida; Malpighiales; Euphorbiaceae
Source: RNAcentral